This 193-nucleotide ribosomal RNA is filed under the name Pseudomonas aeruginosa. RNAcentral's name for it is "partial 23S ribosomal RNA". It matches the Rfam family "Bacterial large subunit ribosomal RNA", at positions 1 to 194 of the family's 2925-position model. RNAcentral also lists the same sequence under 2 other names. The record is from RNAcentral. Lineage: Bacteria; Pseudomonadati; Pseudomonadota; Gammaproteobacteria; Pseudomonadales; Pseudomonadaceae.
GGUUAAGCGACUAAGCGUACACGGUGGAUGCCCUGGCAGUCAGAGGCGAUGAAGGACGUGCUAAUCUGCGAUAAGCGUCGGUAAGGUGAUAUGAACCGUUAUAACCGGCGAUUUCCGAAUGGGGAAACCCAGUGUGUUUCGACACACUAUCAUUAACUGAAUCCAUAGGUUAAUGAGGCGAACCGGGGGAACU